Molecule: signal recognition particle RNA, 277 nt
Filed under: Chlorocebus sabaeus (green monkey)
Lineage: Eukaryota; Metazoa; Chordata; Mammalia; Primates; Cercopithecidae
Description: Metazoan signal recognition particle RNA
Rfam family: Metazoan signal recognition particle RNA
About the family: The signal recognition particle (SRP) is a universally conserved ribonucleoprotein. It is involved in the co-translational targeting of proteins to membranes.
Source: Rfam by way of RNAcentral
GCCGGGCGCGGUGGCUCAAGCCUGUAAUCCCAGCACUUUGGGAGGCCGAGAUGGGCGGAUCACGAGGUCAGGAGAUCAAGACCAUCCUGGCUAACACGGUGAAACCCCGUCUCUACUAAAAUACAANNNNNNNNNNCCUCAGCCUCCCAAGUAGCUGGGACUACAGGCGCCCGCCACCAUGCCCGGCUAAUUUUUUUUGUAUUUUAGUAGAGACGGGGUUUCACCGUGUUAGCCAGGAUGGUCUCGAUCUCCUGACCUCGUGAUCCGCCCGUCUCGG